RNAcentral lists this long non-coding RNA (1846 nucleotides) under Vitis vinifera (wine grape). RNAcentral's name for it is "long non-coding RNA (VVIN_LNC008224)". Lineage: Eukaryota; Viridiplantae; Streptophyta; Magnoliopsida; Vitales; Vitaceae. The record is from RNAcentral.
CUGUUCUGUUUCCACUUUUUCAGAUGCAGUAUCAAUAUUGUUAGAGCAAGUGUCCGCGUCUUCUAUGAUCUCCUCCUUAAUUUCUUCUGAUAUUUCAGAUACAGAGCUGGAGACGUCCACUUUCUCCUCACUACCCUGUUUCUGUAGCAUCUCUUCUUCCAUUGCUUUUGUAACGGGAGAUCGUUCAGGGUCUUUGCUGAAAUCUUCCUCAACCUCUAGGUUCAUUUUUUCUGUUUGCACUUCGGAAUCUGUUGCGCUAGGAUUCUCAUUGGAUACCGUCUCAGAAUGUUGCUCCUGCUUAACAGAUAAUGCUGAAAUUAGUGGAUAGAAAAAAGAAAAGACAGCAGCAUAUGAGAAAUGGUUGAAUUAAUAUUUCAUAUACUAAUGUUAAGCUGACCUUGUCAACUGAUUCAUCUUCAAUGUAUACUGCAGGAAAUUCGUUGAUCUCUCUCUCUCUCUCUAUGAUCCGUUCUUUUAUGUUUUCACUUUCUUCUGCAGUUUUCUCAGCUCCCUCAGGCACCUAUUCAAUGCACAUAACUUCAAUAUAUCAAAUAAAACCUACUCAAACCAUAUGGAAAUGCAAAAGAGAAAUCCAUUGAAGUUAAUUACUUAGUUUAAUAACGAGUAAUAAGAGAGGAUGAGGGCAGUUAUGGUGGUCUGACCUCUUCUGACAGCUCCAUGACUUUGUCACUUUCUGUUGGAGAAUAUGAGCAUUUUAUUGCAGACACAUUUUCUCGAUGCUCUAACUGUGAUACUUCAUCCAGAGUAAUGCAUUCUUCCUUUGGUGGUUUAUUUGGAUUAAUUUGUUGUAUGUUCUCAUUGACUUCCAGCCCCAAUCCAGAAAGUUCGAGCUCCCUGGGCUCUUCCUUUUGCAAGUGCAUGUAAUCUGCUGUCUUUGUGGCAAAAGAAUCUUCUAGGUUCUCAUUUUGUGGGGUUUCAUCUUCCUUUGUCUUUCCAUCUUCUGAGUACCCAAUUGUGGCUAUAAUUCCAUGGUCCUGUUCUUCAGAAAGCAAUGCUUUGGAUGUUUCCUGAUGUUGCUCUUCUGAUUUGCCUUCUGUGGCAGUCUGAACAACAUCGAUUUCAUCUUCAAUAACUGCUUCAACACCUUCAUAGUUGCAUCCAGACACUGUUUCAGAUGGUCCUUUGAUUUCUUCUUUAAUUAUAUGUUCUGAUUCUUCCACAGUUAGGCUUUUCUGUGUUCCAUCAUUUUCUUCAACACAUUGUUCUCUGGACUCAGAUACUGUUUCAGAAGCUCCUUCAAUUUCUUCAACUUCAUCUACAUGUGGCUUUUCCACAAUUUCACUCUCCUUGUUUCUGUUCUCACAUGCAAUAGCUGGAAGUUGAGACACCCCUUCAGAGGUUUCUUCAAGCUUAACUCUGUCAACUUCUACACCCUGUGGACUAGUUUCAGUUGCGGUGUUUGUUUGCAAUGUCUUAUCUUCUGAACUAGUCUCAAUGAUCUUUAUAUGCUUGUCAUCCAGCUGAGCUUCCUGCAAGCUUGUCUGUUCUGUUUCCACUUUUUCAGAUGCAGUAUCAAUAUUGUUAGAGCAAGUGUCCGCGUCUUCUAUGACCUCCUCCUUAAUUUCUUCUGAUAUUUCAGAUACAGAGCUGGAGACAUCCACUUUCUGCUCACUACCCUGUUUCUGUAGCAUCUCUUCUUCCAUUGCUUUUGUAACGGGAGAUCCUUCAGGGUCUUUGCUGAAAUCUUCCUCAACCUCUAGGUUCCCUUUUUCAGUUUGCACUUCGGAAUCUGUUGUGCUAGGAUUCUCAUUGGAUACUGUCUCAGAAUGUUGCUCCUGCUUAACAGAUAAUGCUGAAAUUAGUGGAUAGAAAAAAGAAAAGACAG